Molecule: ribosomal RNA, 373 nt
Filed under: uncultured bacterium
Lineage: Bacteria
Description: bacterial SSU rRNA
Rfam family: Bacterial small subunit ribosomal RNA
Source: RNAcentral
UACGUAGGUGGCGAGCGUUAUCCGGAUUUAUUGGGUUUAAAGGGUGCGUAGGCGGCUUUAUAAGUCGGUGGUUAAAGGUAGCAGCUCAACUGUUUUACAUGCCAUCGAUACUGUUUAGCUUGAGUUAUCAGAAGGCAGAUGGAAUUCCUGGUGUAGCGGUGAAAUGCUUAGAUACCAGGAGGAACACCGAUUGCGAAGGCAUUCUGCUGCAGAUAAACUGACGCUGAGGCACGAAAGCGUGGGGAUCAAACAGGAUUAGAUACCCUGGUAGUCCACGCCGUAAACGAUGAUUACUAGUUGUUGGCUUGUUGGAGUCAGUGACCAAGGGAAACCGAUAAGUAAUCCACCUGGGGAGUACGCCGGCAACGGUGAA